RNAcentral lists this ribosomal RNA (549 nucleotides) under uncultured bacterium. RNAcentral's name for it is "bacterial SSU rRNA". It matches the Rfam family "Bacterial small subunit ribosomal RNA", at positions 355 to 895 of the family's 1533-position model. The record is from RNAcentral.
UAGGGAAUCUUCGGCAAUGGACGGAAGUCUGACCGAGCAACGCCGCGUGAGUGAAGAAGGUUUUCGGAUCGUAAAGCUCUGUUGUAAGAGAAGAACGAGUGUGAGAGUGGAAAGUUCACACUGUGACGGUAUCUUACCAGAAAGGGACGGCUAACUACGUGCCAGCAGCCGCGGUAAUACGUAGGUCCCGAGCGUUGUCCGGAUUUAUUGGGCGUAAAGCGAGCGCAGGCGGUUAGAUAAGUCUGAAGUUAAAGGCUGUGGCUUAACCAUAGUACGCUUUGGAAACUGUUUAACUUGAGUGCAAGAGGGGAGAGUGGAAUUCCAUGUGUAGCGGUGAAAUGCGUAGAUAUAUGGAGGAACACCGGUGGCGAAAGCGGCUCUCUGGUCUGUAACUGACGCUGAGGCUCGAAAGCGUGGGGAGCGAACAGGAUUAGAUACCCUGGUAGUCCACGCCGUAAACGAUGAGUGCUAGGUGUUGGAUCCUUUCCGGGAUUCAGUGCCGCAGCUAACGCAUUAAGCACUCCGCCUGGGGAGUACGACCGCAAGGUU